ACGUUGCCCAAUGAGAGGAUUUAAUAUCUAGAGAGCACGGGUCAUCUUUAUUUUUGGCAUAGCCUUCUUCAUCUGACGAGCGCGCUCUCUUGCUUCUUUCUUGCGAGUAACCUCUGCAUUGAGCUUUGCUUCAGUCUCCUCUAGCAUCUUUUUCCUCUCUGCCUUCUUUUUCUGCAAGGCUUCUUGUCUUGCAUUUUGAAGUUCUUUGUAGGCCUCUUGGGCUGCUUUCGAUCUGGCUGCCUCUGUUUUAGAUUUAGCCUGGGAACUCAACUUGUACCUCCCAAUAAGAUCAAUGUAAUAAGGAACCAGUGCUACCAAUCUAGUCAUAUCAGCCAUGUUGUUGGCAUCAGCCA
This 353-nucleotide unclassified non-coding RNA is filed under the name Hevea brasiliensis (rubber tree). Lineage: Eukaryota; Viridiplantae; Streptophyta; Magnoliopsida; Malpighiales; Euphorbiaceae. The record is from RNAcentral.